UGACGUCGAGCUCAAUCGAGCCGUUGCCUAGAGAAAGAUGAAAAGGAGAAAAAUAUUUGGUUCUUCUCUUCUCUCGUUGCCGACACGAACUCUCCCUCCACUACGAUGUUGUUGUUUACCUGAUAUGAUGAUGAUUACUAUUUGCCUGAAUCCUGGCCAACUUAUCUGCCUGCUUGUUUUCGGGCGAUUGGGGUUUAUCGCCAAAUCUUGCAGCAGCUGUUGUACUGUAAUAUAGCAACAUUUACUUCCUUCCUCUUGUGAGGGAAGAGACAGACAAAGUAACUUAUUUCAACCUUUAGCUACAGUUUCCCUUCUUGUUUUUACUUUUUACUCUUCAUGUAUAACUUGUUUGGGAUCGAUGAACUGGAAAAAAAUCCUUUAAAUGUUGAGAUCAAAGUUGUGUUAACUGUUAAGUAAAUGAAGUUCAACCACAUUUCAGCUUCUAUAUUUCUUCAUUCUCAAAUACCAUGAACAAAUUUACCCUGCUUUUCUUUGAAGACCAUAACCUUUACUAUUCUAAAUUCCUGGUGCAUGUGCUACUGACUUGUCGUUUUCAACGAUCCACAAUUUCAGUUUGUAUUACUACUAAUGCAUUGUAGCAGUUCCCCAUAAUAGUGUAUAAUCCAUGUUUUUUUCUGUUUAGGUUGAUGUUUCUAUUUGUGUCAUUGAAAGUAAAUUUAGUGGCUAACUUUUGAUUUCUUAGUCUAUAAACAACAUUAGCUACAGAUAGUGGGUCUUCUGGAAACUGGAACUGGAACAUUUUGCAUCAACGAUUUGGAGUAUGGUUACACAUUAAGCAUUAGCUGAAAACAUAAGAAGUCACGCUGAAAGUAGAAGACUCUACUUGGUGCUGUAACUUCAACCUUAAUGCUUCAUGGCACAUGUGACACUUUCAUAUGAAACGUCAAGACGAUAAGUUAUUUGCAGGAUCAACUACUGCAACUAUCAAAGCAAUGCUAAUAGCAUCAAGUGGGGUGGCAUAGCAUAAAAAGUGGAAGGUAUUUGGAUACACUUUACUAUUGUUGGCAGUUUUUUUCUGUUAUUUAUAUUCACUAACGAAUUUAACAAAUGUUCUUACAUUUCAGGUUAGAUUUGUUUUGUCAUUUGUACAUUGGAGAAUGGUGCCGCAAUAGUAGUCAUAUUCUGUCUCUUAUGGUUUGGUUGCAGGAACAAAUGUUGUGACCCGUCUAGAUAUUGUUUGGUUACCUUGUCAUGCAAUAGUAUAUUUGCUUGGAGUAUCAUUUUAAUUGCAAAGACUGAAGCUCUGUUUGGAAGUGAUCUUUAUAUGCUUGCCUCAUCUACAAAAAAAUAUGGCUUAAAUUUUUCUUGAUACACAAACAUUUGUAGUCUUCAGCUGGUAGUAAUAUUAUCUUGAUCUGAUCUUCACUUAUACUGGGAUAAGACAAAACCACACAGUCUUCUUUCUACUGCCACUGUUCCAAAAUUAUAAGCACUUCAACUAUGUCCUAAGUCAAACUUCUCUAACUUUGAUAACUUCUUUUUGGAAAAAAGCACCAACACAUCUACAAAAUUAAAUUAGUACCAUUAAAUUCUCCAUGUCUUGAUAAUGCAUUUAUUUGAACUUGUAGAUGUUAUAAUAUAUUUUCUAAAAGAAUGGUCAAGGUUAGAGAAGUUUAACUCUAUACAAAGCAAAAGUGGCCUAUACUUUGGAUAAUAUUAUUGACCCUGUGGGUAGGGAUGGAACCGGAUCCGUUACAGACAGAUACUAGUGAUCUUGCAUUAUGUCUGAUAUCCCAUAUUCUACCCCAUAUUUUUGUCGGAUCUCAGAAGCAGACAUGGAUCAUUCAGAUAUUGCUGCCUAUCUCAUACAUAUAUACAUAUAUAUUAAAAAAAAUCUGAUUUUGAGUAUUCAGAUCUGGAUACGGUCAGAUAUUAAAUGUUUGGAUUCAGAUACAGACUAUCUAUGUAGAGUUUUGACCCUUCCGGGACAGACAAAUAUCAGGAAAUAUGUCCUGUUUUCGUCCCUACCUGUGGGUAUGUUUGUUUAUGUAAAAUUUGACAUUUAGGCGUCUCCUAGAAGGCAUGUCCUGGCUAUCACUAUGGCAAACAAAACUGUCCUUAUUGCUGAUCAAGUAAUCCUGGCAGUAUUCAUCGACUGGACCUUAGCAUGAUGAACUCAACCAAUAAAAAAGAGCAAGCAUAAACCUACAUCGCAUUCAGUCAAAUCAUUUUCCACUUCGACCAACUGUACCAAGGGUAUACAUUGUUACUUGUUAGCUGUCAGUAGGGAUGACAAUGGGUACUAGAAACUCGAUACUCGAUGGUAAAAACCUAUUAGGCAUGGGUAUGACGAAUUUUAAUAUCCAUGGGUAUUUUAUUGGGUCAUUUGCUAUACCUAUCGGAUAUGGUGAGUAUAGGUAUGUUCUCUCUUGUCCCAUAAUCGUUAUCUAAUACGAAAUCCGCUAACAGACAUAUGGGUUUGGAUUAAUGAGCUUGUUCUCUCUCAUGCAUGAACUUAUAUGGUGUUGCCAUUUAAUGCUAAAUGUUAUUGAUUUUAUGAUAAAAUUGUGUUGGGUUUGAAGAAUUUAUCAUGCUAACACAAUUACACAAAGAUAAUGUGUUAUUUUAGCAUCUUUCAAUAUUGAUGGGGUAUGUGGUUUCAACAUUUUGUAUUCAGUAUUCGUACUUACUUUUGCGAUUCAAAUGAUUAUGUCUAUUAUAAUGUUAGUGGGUAUGGAUACUCGCUACUUGUGGUGGGUAUGGAUAUGACGUAAUUUUGUACUUAUGAUAUAUAGUGGGUAUGAAUAUAAGAUAUUUUUUUUCUAAUGGAUAUGAGUAUAGCUUUGUGUCCCCAUUGGAUGCCUUACUGAGAGCACCUAGAGGGGGGGGUGAAUAGGUGAUCCUGUAAAAACUUAAACUUAUAGCCACAAAACUUGAUUAGGCGUUAGCACAGUUUAUGCCAAGUGGCUAGAGAGGAGUCAAAACACAAUAACCACAAGAAUCCAAUCACAGAAAUGACACAGUGGUUAUCCCGUGGUUCGGCCAAGUACAAAACUUGCCUACUCCACGUUGUGGCGUCCCAACGGACGAGAGUUGCACUCAACUCCUCUAAGUGAUCCAAUGAUCAACUUGAAUACCACGGUGUUCUUGCUUUUCUUUUCUCAAUCCCGUUUGCGAGGAAUCUCCACAACUUGGAGCCUCUCGCCCUUACAAAAGAUGUUCACAGAGAAUCACAGAGCAAGGGAGGGAUUAGCAACUCACACACGACACAAAGAUCACAGCGAAUACGCACACACAAGACCCAGACUUGAGCUCAAAAGACUAGCACACUAGAACGGAGCUCAAAUCACUAGAGUGUCGAACAAGUGCGCGAGAUUGAUGUGUGAGUGAUCAAGAGUGCUCAAGGAAUGCUUGGGUUCGUCCUCCAUGCGCCAAGGGGUCCCUUUUAUAGCCCCAAGGCAGCUAGGAGCCGUUGGGAACAAAUCUGGAAGGCCAUCUUUGCCUUCUGUCUCGUGGCGCACCGGACAGUCCGGUGCACACCGGACACUGUCCGGUGCCCGAUUUGUUUCCUUAAACAGCGCAUCCGACCGUUGCUGUCAGAGUCAGAUCUGUGCACCGUUGGCGCACCGGACAUGUCCGGUGCACACCGGACAGUCCGGUGCCCCUUCCUGACCGUUGGCUCGGCCACGUGUCGCGCGCCGAUCGCGCGGCCGACCGUUGGCCCGGCCGACCGUUGGCUCACCGGACAGUCCGGUGCACACCGGACAGUCCGGUGAAUUUUAGCCGAAGUCGCCGGAGAAAAACCCGAGAGCGGCUGGUUUGCUCUGUGGUGGUCUGGCGCACCGGACACUGUCCGGUGCACACCGGACAGUCCGGUGCCCCAGUCCGAAGCAGCCUUUGGCUGUACACAGCCACUCUCCACUUCUUUUCUUUUCUUCUUUCUCCUGUUUCUAACACUUAGACAAGAUGUCAGUACACAAAACUAAUGUACUAAGGCUUAGAAACAUACCUUUACUUGUGAUUUGCACUUUGUUCAUCCAUGGGCAUAUUUUCACAUUUAAGCACUUGUGUUUGCACUCAAUCACCAAAAUACUUAGAAAUGGCCCAAGGGCACAUUUCCCUUUCAAUCUCCCCCUUUUUGGUGAUUUAUGCCAACACAACAUAAAGCAACUAGAACAAGUGCAAAAUCACUUCAAAUAAAAACUGACUUUGAGUUUUAUUCAAUUUUGGCAUAUAUGGAUCAUCUUUUGCCACCACUUGGUUUGUUUUUGCAAAUCAAGCUCAAAUCUCUAUCUCUAAGUCAAACACACAUGUUGAAGCAUAACGAGAGUCAUUCCAAAAGAGAUUGAUCAAAGAUUUCAAAAACUCCCCCUAUUUCCCAUAAUCAACACUUCUCCCCACAAGAAGCCAACUUUUGACAAUAGAGACAAUAAGAGACAAUAAAAGCUUUUGACAAAACAAAAACUCUAUUCUACUAUUUUCAAAAUCUCUCAAGUGGUAGCUGAUCCAUUUAUCACUUUGGCCUUUAUUUUCUCCCCCUUUGGCAUCAAGCACCAAAACGGGAUCAAUCUUGGCCUUUUAACCCCAUUGCCUCACAAAAAUCUUCAAUUAAGAUCAAAUGGCAAUAAGAGUUCAUGAGAUGAACUUGGAAUUAGUUACCCUCUCAUCGGAGUGCAGUGGAAGUCUUUUAUGGUCCAAGUCCACCUUUUCCCUUUCAAUUCUCCUUCGAGUCUAAGUCAAACAAACUCAAGCACAUGGUUAGUCUCAAAGGGUCAAGUUGUAACACAUCUCCCCCUAAACAUGUGCAUCACUUUGCAACGGACUUGUGAGGUCCAGGGAGUGUUUGUACAACUUGAGCACCAUAAUAAGCAACAAAAUGCAAAAAGGAACAUGAUCAAAAGCAUAAGUACAUGUAUGCUACAAUUUAAUCCAGGUUCCGCGAAUCUAUGACAUUUAGCUCACUACGCAACUUGCAAAAGGUCUUCUCAUCUAGAGGCUUAGUGAAGAUAUCAGCUAGCUGGUUCUCGGUGCUAACAUGAAACACUUCGAUAUCUCCCUUUUGCUGGUGGUCUCUCAAAAAGUGAUGCCGGAUGUCUAUGUGCUUUGUGCGGCUGUGCUCAACAGGAUUCUCCGCCAUGCGGAUAGCACUCUCAUUGUCACAUAGGAGUGGGACUUUGCUCAGAUUGUAGCCAAAGUCCCGGAGGGUUUGCCUCAUCCAAAGUAGUUGCGCGCAACACUGACCUGCGGCAACGUACUCGGCCUCAGCGGUGGAUAGGGCAACGGAUGUUUGUUUCUUAGAGUUCCAUGACACCAGGGACCUUCCUAAGAAUUGGCACGUCCCCGAUGUACUCUUCCUAUCGACCUUACAUCCAGCAUAGUCGGAGUCUGAGUAUCCAACUAAGUCAAAGGUAGACCCCUUUGGAUACCAGAGCCCAAAGCAAGGCGUAGCAACCAAAUAUCUAAGAAUUCGCUUCACCGCCACUAAGUGACACUCCUUAGGAUCGGAUUGAAAUCUAGCACACAUGCAUACGCUAAGCAUAAUAUCCGGUCUACUAGCACAUAAAUAAAGCAAAGAACCUAUCAUUGACCGGUAUGCUUUUUGAUCAACGGACUUACCUCCUUUGUUGAGGUCGGUGUGUCCGUCAGUCCCCAUCGGAGUCUUUGCGGGCUUGGCGUCCUUCAUCCCAAACCGCUUUAGCAGAUCUUGCGUGUACUUCGUUUGGGAGAUGAAGGUGCCGUCCUUGAGUUGCUUCACUUGGAACCCAAGGAAGUAGUUCAACUCGCCCAUCAUCGACAUUUCGAAUUUCUGCGUCAUCACCCUGCUAAACUCUUCACAAGACUUUUGGUUAGUAGAACCAAAUAUUAUGUCAUCGACAUAAAUUUGGCACACAAACAAAUCACCAUCACAUGUCUUUGUAAAAAGAGUUGGAUCGGCUUUCCCAACCUUGAAAGCAUUAGCAAUUAAAAAGUCUCUAAGGCAUUCAUACCAUGCUCUUGGGGCUUGCUUAAGUCCAUAGAGCGCCUUAGAGAGCUUACACACAUGGUCGGGGUACCGUUCAUCCUCGAAGCCAGGGGGUUGCUCCACGUACACCUCCUCCUUGAUUGGCCCGUUGAGGAAAGCGCUCUUCACAUCCAUUUGGUACAACCUGAAAGAAUGGUGAGCGGCAUAUGCUAGCAAGAUACGAAUUGACUCUAGCCUAGCCACAGGAGCAAAAGUCUCCUCAAAGUCCAAACCUGCGACUUGGGCAUAACCUUUUGCCACAAGUCGAGCCUUGUUCCUCGUCACCACCCCGUGCUCGUCCUGUUUGUUGCGGAACACCCACUUGGUUCCCACAACAUUUUGCUUCGGACGAGGCACCAGUGUCCAAACUUCAUUGCGCUUGAAGUUGUUGAGCUCCUCCUGCAUGGCCAAUACCCAAUCCGGAUCUAGCAAGGCCUCCUCUACCCUGAAAGGCUCAAUAGAAGAGACAAAGGAGUAAUGCUCACAAAAAUUAACUAAUCGAGAUCGAGUAGUUACUCCCUUGCUAAUGUCACCCAGAAUUUGAUCGACGGGAUGAUCCCUUUGAAUUAUCGCUCGAACUUGGGUUGGAGGUGCCGGUUGCGCUUCUUCCUCCAUCACUUGAUCAUCUUGUGCUCCCCCUUGAUCACACGCCUCCUGUUGAUGAACCUGUUCAUUGUCUUGAGUUGGGGGUAGCACCAUGGUCGAGGAAGAAGGUUGAUCUCGUUCAUCUUGUUCCUGUGGCCGUACUUCUCCAAUCGCCAUGGUUCGUAUAGCGGCCGUCGGAACAUCUUCUUCAUCUACAUCAUCACAAUCAACAACUUGCUCUCUUGGAGAGCCAUUAGUCUCAUCAAAUACAACGUCGCUAGAGACUUCAACCAAACCCGAUGAUUUGUUGAAGACUCUAUACGCCUUUGUAUUUGAGUCAUAACCUAACAAAAAUCCUUCUACAGCUUUGGGAGCAAACUUAGAAUUUCUACCCUUCUUCACUAGAAUGUAGCACUUGCUCCCAAAUACACGAAAGUAAGAUACAUUGGGUUUGUUACCGGUUAGUAGUUCAUACGACGUCUUCUUGAGGAGUCGGUGAAGGUAGACCCUGUUGAUGGCGUGGCAAGCCGUGUUCACGGCUUCCGACCAAAACCGCUCGGGGGUCUUAAAUUCUCCAAGCAUCGUCCUCGCCAUGUCGAUUAGCGUCCUGUUCUUCCUCUCUACCACACCAUUUUGCUGUGGUGUGUAGGGAGCGGAGAACUCGUGCUUGAUCCCUUCCUCCUCAAGAAACUCUUCCACUUGAAGGUUCUUGAACUCGGACCCGUUGUCACUCCUUAUCUUCUUCACCUUGAGCUCAAACUCAUUUUGAGCUCUCCUGAGGAAGCGCUUGAGGGUCCCUUGGGUUUCAGACUUAUCCUGCAAAAAGAACACCCAAGUGAAGCGGGAAAAGUCAUCAACAAUAACUAAACCAUACUUACUUCCUCCUAUGCUCAGAUAGGCGACGGGUCCAAAAAGGUCCAUAUGCAGCAUCUCCAAGGGUCUUGAUGUCGUCAUCACAUUUUUGGUGUGAUGAGAGCCUCCCACCUGUUUCCCUGCUUGACAAGCUGCACAAGGUCUAUCUUUUUCGAAUUGAACAUUAGUUAGACCUAUCACGUGUUCUCCCUUUAGAAGCUUGUGAAGGUUCUUCAUCCCCACAUGUGCUAAGCGGCGAUGCCACAGCCAGCCCAUGCUAGUCUUAGCUAUUAAGCAUGCAUCUAGACCGGCCUCUUCUUUUGCAAAAUCUACUAAAUAAAGUUUGCCGUCUAAUACACCCUUAAAAGCUAGUGAACCAUCACUUCUUCUAAAGACAGACACAUCUACAUUUGUAAAUAGACAGUUAUAUCCCAUAUUGCAUAAUUGACUCACAGAUAGCAGAUUAUAUCCAAGACUCUCUACUAAAAAUACAUUAGAGAUAGAAUGCUCAUUAGAAAUCGCAAUUUUACCUAACCCUUUUACCUUGCCUUGAUUCCCAUCACCGAAUAUAAUUGAAUCUUGGGAAUCCUUAUUCUUGACGUAGGAGGUGAACAUCUUCUUCUCCCCCGUCAUAUGGUUUGUGCAUCCGCUAUCAAUAAUCCAGCUUGAACCCCCGGAUGCAUAAACCUGCAAGGCAAAUUUAGGCUUGGGACUUAGGUACCCAACUCUUGUUGGGUCCUACAAGGUUAGUCACAAUUUCCUUAGGGACCCAAAUGCAAGUUUUAUCACCUUUGCAUUUUGCCCCUAACUUCCUAGCAAUUACUUUUCUAUCCUUUCUACAAAUUGCAAAUGAAGCAUUCAAAGCACAAUAAAUUGUAGAGGGUUCAUUCACUACUUUUCUAUGAACAUUUGCAACAUUUCUUUUAGGAACAACAUUUCUCCUAGUAACAUUUCUAUCAUACACAUUAGAAGAACUAGGAGCAAACAUGGCAUGAGAAUCAUAAACAUAUGAAUCAAAAGCAUCAUAACUUCUAUUUCUAGUUUGUCUUUUAUCAUGAUACAAAAAGGCAUGGUUCCUUUUAGCACUAGUAGCCAUAGGGGCCUUCCCUUUCUCCUUGGCGGGAAUGGGAGCCUUAUGGCUUGUUAAGUUCUUGGCUUCCCUCUUGAAGCCAAGUCCAUCCUUAAUUGAGGGGUGUCUACCAACCGUGUAGGCAUCCCUAGCAAAUUUUAGUUUUUCAAAAUCACUUUUGCUAGUCUUAAGUUGAGCAUUAAGGCUAGCCACUUCAUCACUUAAUUUUGAAAUGGAAACUAAGUGUUCACUACAAGCAUUAAUAUCAACAUCCUUACACCUAGUGCAAAUUUCAACAUGUUCAACACAAGAGUUGGAUUUAUUUGCUUCUACUAGUUUAGCAUUUAAAUCAUCGUUUAUGCUCUUUAAUUUAGAAAUAGAAUCAUGGCAUGUUGACACUUCACAAGCAAGCAUUUCAUUCCUCUUAAUUUCUAAUGCAAGGGAUUUUUGAGCCUCUACAAACUUAUCAUGUUCUUCAUACAACAGAUCCUCUUGCUUUUCUAAAAGUAUAUUCUUUUCAUUCAAGGCAUCAAUUAAUUCAUUAAUUUUGUCUAUCUUAGAUCUAUCUAAGCCCUUGAACAAACAUGAAUAAUCUACUUCAUCCUCAUCACUAGAUUCGUCCUCACUUGAAGAAGCAUAGGUAGAGUUGCGAGUACAUACCUUCUUCUCCUUUGCCAUAAGGCAUGUGUGACGCUCGUUGGGGAAGAGGGUUGAUUUGUUGAAGGCGGUGGCGGCGAGUCCUUCAUUGUCGGAGUCGGAAGAGGAGCAAUCCGAGUCCCAUUCCUUGCCUAGAUGCGCCUCGCCCUUUGCCUUCUUGUAAUGCUUCUUCUUUUCCCUCUUGUUUCCCUUUUCCUGAUCACUAUCAUUAUCGGGGCAGUUAGCGAUAAAAUGACCAAUCUUACCACACUUGAAGCAUGAGCGCUUUCCCUUCGUCUUGGUCUUGCUUGGCUGCCCCUUGUGACCCUUUAGCACCGUCUUGAAGCGUUUGAUGAUGAGAGCCAUCUCUUCAUCAUUAAGUCCGACCGCCUCAAUUUGUGCCACCUUGCUAGGUAGCGCCUCCUUACUUCUUGAUGCUUUGAGAGCAAAAGGUUGUGGUUCGUUGAUCGGUCCAUUCAAGGCGUCGUCCACGUAUCUUGCCUCCUUGAUCAUCAUUCGCCCGCUGACGAAUUUUCCUAAGACUUCUUCGGGCGACAUUUUGGUGUACCUGGGAUUCUCACGAAUAUUAUUCACCAAAUGAGGAUCAAGAACGGUAAAGGACCUUAGCAUUAGUCGGACGACGUCGUGGUCCGUCCAUCGCGUGCUUCCGUAGCUCCUUAUUUUGUUGAUAAGGGUCUUGAGCCGGUUGUAUGUUUGAGUUGGCUCCUCGCCCCUUAUCAUCGCGAACCGUCCAAGCUCGCCCUCCACCAACUCCAUUUUGGUGAGCAAGGUAGCGUCAUUUCCCUCAUGAGAGAUCUUGAGGGUAUCCCAGAUUUGCUUGGCGUUAUCCAAGCCACUCACUUUGUUAUAUUCAUCCCUGCACAAUGAAGCUAGAAGAACAGUAGUAGCUUGUGCAUUCUUAUGGAUUUGCUCAUUAAUGAAUAUAGGACUAUCUGAACUAUUAAAGUGCAUUCCACUAUCUACAAUCUCCCAUAUACUAGGAUGGAGAGAAAAUAGGUGACUACGCAUUUUGUGGCUCCAAAAUCCGUAGUCCUCCCCAUCAAAGUGUGGGGGCUUGCCGAGUGGAAUGGAAAGCAAAUGUGAAUUUGAGCUUUGCGGAAUACGAGAGUAGUCAAAGGAAAAGUUAGAAUUAACCGGCUUCCUUUGCUCGUAGUCGUUGUGGUCGUCGUUCUUUUGGGAAGAAGUAGACUCAUCACUGUCGUCGUAGUAGACGAUCUCCUUGAUGCGCCUUGUCUUCUUCUUCUUCCCUUCCUUUCGUCUAUGACCCGAGCCGGAGUCGGUAGGCUUGUCAUCUUUGAGCUCAUUGACGAAGGACUCCUUCUCCUUAUCGUUGAUCACGAUUCCCUUCCCCUUAGGAUCCAUCUCUUCGGGCGGCUAGUCCCUUUCUUGAAGAGAACGGCUCUGAUACCAAUUGAGAGCACCUAGAGGGGGGGGUGAAUAGGUGAUCCUGUAAAAACUUAAACUUAUAGCCACAAAACUUGAUUAGGCGUUAGCACAGUUUAUGCCAAGUGGCUAGAGAGGAGUCAAAACACAAUAACCACAAGAAUCCAAUCACAGAAAUGACACAGUGGUUAUCCCGUGGUUCGGCCAAGUACAAAACUUGCCUACUCCACGUUGUGGCGUCCCAACGGACGAGAGUUGCACUCAACUCCUCUCAAGUGAUCCAAUGAUCAACUUGAAUACCACGGUGUUCUUGCUUUUCUUUUCUCAAUCCCGUUUGCGAGGAAUCUCCACAACUUGGAGCCUCUCGCCCUUACAAAAGAUGUUCACAGAGAAUCACAGAGCAAGGGAGGGAUUAGCAACUCACACACGACACAAAGAUCACAGCGAAUACGCACACACAAGACCCAGACUUGAGCUCAAAAGACUAGCACAUUAGAACGGAGCUCAAAUCACUAGAGUGUCGAACAAGUGCGCGAGAUUGAUGUGUGAGUGAUCAAGAGUGCUCAAGGAAUGCUUGGGUUCGUCCUCCAUGCGCCAAGGGGUCCCUUUUAUAGCCCCAAGGCAGCUAGGAGCCGUUGGGAACAAAUCUGGAAGGCCAUCUUUGCCUUCUAUCUCGUGGCGCACCGGACAGUCCGGUGCACACCGGACACUGUCCGGUGCCCGAUUUGUUUCCUUAAACAGCGCAUCCGACCGUUGCUGUCAGAGUCAGAUCUGCGCACCGUUGGCGCACCGGACAUGUUCGGUGCACACCGGACAGUCCGGUGCCCCUUCCUGACCGUUGGCUCGGCCACGUGUCGCGCGCCGAUCGCGCGGCCGACCGUUGGCCCGGCCGACCGUUGGCUCACCGGACAGUCCGGUGCACACCGGACAGUCCGGUGAAUUUUAGCCGAAGUCGCCGGAGAAAAACCCGAGAGCGGCUGGUUUGCUCUGUGGUGGUCUGGCGCACCGGACACUGUCCGGUGCACACCGGACAGUCCGGUGCCCCAGUCCGAAGCAGCCUUUGGCUGUACACAGCCACUCUCCACUUCUUUUCUUUUCUUCUUUCUCCUGUUUCUAACACUUAGACAAGAUGUCAGUACACAAAACUAAUGUACUAAGGCUUAGAAACAUACCUUUACUUGUGAUUUGCACUUUGUUCAUCCAUGGGCAUAUUUUCACAUUUAAGCACUUGUGUUUGCACUCAAUCACCAAAAUACUUAGAAAUGGCCCAAGGGCACAUUUCCCUUUCACUUACCCACUGCUAUCCCUAGCGGUCAGCAUGGGACUAUAGCAUCUUGAUGACUGUGCUGACUCUGUGAGUGAAGUGUAUUGAAUAAAUAUGGAAUGUGAACGAAACAUAUGAUAAUAUGACAGGCUCUUGUACCGAAGGCAAGGAAAUAUGGCGUUGUUUUCUUAAAUAUUAUGCUAUUGGAUAAUGAUUGUUAUGGUGAUUAAGAUUAUAGCAAUGUACACCUAGAUUCAGAUUUGUUUGGAGAAUGGACUUUCUUAAGUUUAGCAUCUCUUCUUAUAAUCAACCUUUUAUUUUGAUGUUUUUAUUAUUUUCAUGCCAUUCAUAAAUGUUUCACUCAUCAUUGAAAUAAUGUACUAAAGGUAAACUUUUUUCGUUUGAGAAUCUUAAAUAAUUAUUACUACGGCAUUUUUCUGGCAGCUUCUACUUGCAUAUUGCUUGAUUUGGAGCCCCUGCAAAUUUACUUGGGGUAGAGGGCCAAUUGGACUAUAGCCUCUUGAUGACGGUGCCCUCAUGUGUCAGACUGUAAAGUGAAAUGUUCUCUGCCUCUUGAUGACGGUGCCCUCAUGCGUUCAGACUGUAAAUUGAAAUGUUCUCUGCUAGAUUAUUCACAAACGUUUCAGCUAUAUCGUCCUCCUAAAAUUUACUUUUUCACCGCCCUAUAAAAGAUUCCAUUCUUGAUCUUCCUAAAUCCUAGCUUUCACAGUUGUUCUCUCUAAGGCUCUAUUUGUUUGCUUACAAGAUUAUAUAAAAAACUCUGCUGGUAGGAGAAAGACUGUCCCCAUGAUAUUAUUAUAUUAAGAAGAAGCUUAAUCGGAGCCUCAAUCGAGAAAGGUCAUGAAAGCUGGUCUCCGAUUAGGAAACUAGCGAGUGGUCUUUUUUAAUCUCAGCCUGAAAUUCGCUCCCACUGAGAUUCGAACUCAGGAUCUAAAAAGUGCUAAUCAGACCACCGAACCAACUCGGCUAGAGGCCCAGCUUAUGGAUUAUAUAAACAUCUAUUAACCUGCUUACGUAUUAUCAUAAUCUAGUUAUCUAGAUUACAUAAUUCAUCUAAUAAUCUUUAUUGUUUGUUUACCUCUCAACUUAUUUAGGUUGGAUUAUAUAAUCUAGGGAAUAAACAAACAUGGUCUAAAUCUACUUUGUAUACAUAAUACACAUAUUUGUAAUAUAUUUUAAAUUAGUUUUUUAUAUGUAUUAGUCAUAGUCUAAAAUGAUAUGUAUAUAUUAAUUAUGUGUUUAAUUUUUAGUUUAGGGCUAGUUUGGUAACUCUAUUUUUCUAAUUAAUUCUUAUUUACCAAGAAAAAAUGAAAAUUUAUCUUAGAAAAAUAGAAAUUUCUUAGAAAAAUAAAGUUGCCAAACUAGCCCUUAGAGUAUAAAAAAUAAAAGGAAAGAUAGAACAUCCUUGAUAGCGGUAGAAGACUUGCCUAUAAAUUUAUAGUGUUUUUUAAGGCAACCCCUGCAGUUUUAAGAUGCACCUAAAACUUGCUGGGGGUAGAGGGCCAAUCGUUGAAAGGAGUGCUUGAGCAGGAAUACCAUGGAGCUUGUUUGUCAGAGGAACUCGUUCGUUGAGUCUGAAACCAGGAGAGCUACGGUGUCACUUCAAAGCAGUUUCUUCUUAAUAUCCAGAGUAUCACUACAUCAAAAUAGUGAACUUCCUAGAGCCUAAACCCUAGGAAGUUAGCACUAAACUCUAGGAAGUUAGCUAAACUCUCGGAAGUUAAGCCAUCCCGUCGGAAGUUUGGCUCUCGGGAAUUUUUUGUCGGAAGUUAGCUUAACUUCCUAGAGCCCUCUAGGAAGUUAGCUAACUUCCUACAGCCAGCGGUGCCUCUCGGAAGUUAGUAGGUUCACGCCGUCAGCGCCGUCAGCUGGCUAACUUUCUACGGCUUACUGUAGCCCCUAGGAAGUUAGCUGACUAGCUUCCUACAGCUUCACUGUAGCCCCUAGGAAGUUAGCUGGCCAGCUAACUUCCUACGGCCUAGUUGGCCUCUAGGAAGUUAAUUUGACCAGCAUUACAAAUGUUGUUUAUUUUUAUUAUAUACCACAUUCCACAACAUAACAAAUAUAUUAACAGCUAUAGCACAACAUAUUUUCACAUAAAAUAUCUCACACACAAUCACAUAACAAUAUUAAAUCCAUAGUCUCAUCUAUUACAUCACAAAAGUCUCAUCCAUAGUCAUAAGACACAUCUCAUCCAAUCAUAAUAAGAGACAAUAUCUCAUAUAUAGUCAUAAUAAAAGUCUCAAGUAUCACAACACAUAACAUGGAAGCUCACGAUCGCCGAUCACCAUCGGGAUAUAGUGACGAGUGAUGGUCGAUACUUCCUAAAAGAGGUCGUAGGAAGUUAGCUUUUCUUUUGACUGGUCAAUAGCUGAAACCUAACUUCCUAGAGCAGGCCAUAGGAAGUUAGCUAACUGCCUACGGUUUUUUAACUUCCGACAGCUUUUAUAAAAGACCGUAGGAAGUUAUGUUUAUUUCCUAGAGCUAUCAGUUGCCUCUCGGAAGUUAUUUAUUUCCUACGGUUUGUUACAAAAGCUGUAGGAAGUUAAAAAACCGUAGGAAGUGUAUGAUUUUGGUGUAGUGUAUAGGUGCAAAGGCAAUGUAAACAUGACCUCAGUACUGUUGAAGGGCUGAAGAAUUUUGUAAGAUAAGUUACAAUUAUUUAUUGAUUUAUUAAAAAGUAGACCUACUUAUACAUCUGUUUUUUUUACAUUUUUACUACUUUGAUCAGAAUUAUACUAUGCAGUAUAUUUCUUCUGAAUAAUGACUAGUCAUAUUUUAGAGAUGGUUAAUAUCAUUUCUUUUCCUGUUAGUAUUAUGAUGCCUUAUAAAUAAUUUAAUGCAGUAUUUUAUGAUGGCAAUUUACCAAUGGUGUCUUGCUUCUGCGGCUGAUCUAGAUGGUUAUCUCAGUAACUUGAGUUUUGUUUUCUGAAUAAUGAUAUGGUGCAAGUGCAAUCACAUUUUAAUGACUAAUUACUAGUCUUUAAUUUUAUUUCUUUUCUCGUUAAUACUAAUAAUGUCUUACAAUAAUUUAAUGGUACAUACCUUUUCUAUGAUGCUGUUGGCAUUUUGCUUGCACUGUUGAUCUAGAUGAUUAUCUAGCUGAUUUGUGAGUUCAAUGUAGGUGUUCAUGAAGUCUAUUUUGCCGUGUCUGGUCUUAGCCGCGGUUUCAUGAACGUUCUAGAUUUGUCCCCUCAAUUCAUUACUCAUAGACCUGUUUGAAACCUCUAGAAUUAAUAGUUAGCCACUAAAAUUAGUUGUAGAGGUUCCAAACACCCCUCAACUAAUAGUCAACUAAAUGCCAGCUACCUCACAGCUAACAAUUAUUCCAUUAGCUGGCUCAAUCCGAUUAAUGAUUUGUUAGCUGACUAACUAUUAGCUUUAGGGGUUCCAAACAGAGCCUUAUAUUGAUUUUGUUUAUUCCUAUGACCAGCAGUAAGGUCGGGUAUCAAUGAAUGUAGAUACUAAUUGCUCGCUAGUGAUCGGUAUCCACCGCGACGGCUUUAACGGAGGCUGGUUUGGCUAGCCGGUUGGUGGGUCUGUUGAUCAGUUGAUUCGGUCGGUAUCCAUCAUGUUGAAGUCGAUAUUGAUCGGUGUGUUGGACGGUUCGAUCGAUAUCCAUCCAGUAUUGAGUAUUGAUCGACUUUAUGUGAUGUGUUUUGAUUUGUUCACGUGUGUGUCACAUCAACUACUUGUUUUUAA
Molecule: long non-coding RNA, 15495 nt
Filed under: Zea mays
Lineage: Eukaryota; Viridiplantae; Streptophyta; Magnoliopsida; Poales; Poaceae
Description: long non-coding RNA (ZMAY_LNC002824)
Source: RNAcentral